This 224-nucleotide long non-coding RNA is filed under the name Elaeis guineensis (African oil palm). RNAcentral's name for it is "long non-coding RNA (EGUI_LNC063508)". The record is from RNAcentral. Lineage: Eukaryota; Viridiplantae; Streptophyta; Magnoliopsida; Arecales; Arecaceae.
CCCCCCUUCCAUGCUAUUUUCCAGCACGUGCAGUGCACAUGCUAGUCCCAUUUUUUUCUAUGCUUUGAGAUCAAUGCAUGGGACUGGAUAUUACAUAAUGAUUAUGAAUCACUGUCUAUCUGUGAGUGUUGUUUACUUGAAAAAAUGAUCAACUCAUCUUUUACUGAAAAAGAUGAACGAGCUAGUGAUGUUUUAGAUUUUGUGCAUACUGAUGUAUGUGGACC